ACACGACUACAUUAGAUACCCCGGUAGUCCCAGCCCUAAACGAUACUCGCUAGGUGUCGGCCACGGUGCGACCGUUGUCGGUGCCGUAGGGAAGCCGUGAAGCGAGCCACCUGGGAAGUACGGCCGCAAGGCUGAAACUUAAAGGAAUUGGCGGGGGAGCACCACAACGGGUGGAGCUUGCGGUUUAAUUGGAUUCAACGCCGGAAAUCUUACCGGGACCGACAGCAACAUGAAGGCCAGGCUGAAGACUUUGCCGGAUUAGCUG
This 265-nucleotide ribosomal RNA is filed under the name uncultured archaeon. Its description in RNAcentral is "partial 16S ribosomal RNA". It matches the Rfam family "Archaeal small subunit ribosomal RNA", at positions 717 to 982 of the family's 1478-position model. The record is from RNAcentral.